UAGGUUAUCUUAAUUCAACAUCGAGGUGAUAAACUUUUUCUUCGAUAUGAACUCUAGGAAAAUAUUAUCCUGUUAUCCCUAAAGUAGCUUUUAUUUAUUAAUCAUUAUUUCUUUUUUUAAGAUAAUAAUGGGUCAUUAUACCCUACUUUGUAACUGUUAAAUUGAUUAAUUAAACAGUAAAUUAAUUUUUUUUUAUUAAUUUAGUAUGUCUCUGUUUUUUUUUAGAGAUCAUCGCCCCAAUGAAACUAGCCUUUCUUUAUUAAUUUUUUUUAAUUAAUUUUUUCAAAAUAUUUAUAUAAAGAAUUAUAGUUAAGCUUUAUAGGGUCUUUUCGUCUUACAAUAUUACAUAGCAUCUUAACUAUGAUUUUAAUUUUUUUUUUAUUUUAUAAGACAGAGGGAUUUUCGUUUAACCAUUCAUACUAUCCACUAAUUAAGUGGCGAAUUAUUAUGCUACAUUCAUACAGUCAUAGUUACGGCAGCCAUUUAGUUUUUUUUUUUAAUUUAUGAAAAAUUUCUUAUAACCAUUGGGC
RNAcentral lists this ribosomal RNA (530 nucleotides) under Lytocarpia myriophyllum. Its description in RNAcentral is "partial 16S ribosomal RNA". Lineage: Eukaryota; Metazoa; Cnidaria; Hydrozoa; Leptothecata; Aglaopheniidae. The record is from RNAcentral.